UACAGAGGUCUCAAGCGUUGUUCGGAUUCAUUGGGCGUAAAGGGCUCGUAGGUGGCCAACUAAGUCAGACGUGAAAUCCCUCGGCUUAACCGGGGAACUGCGUCUGAUACUGGAUGGCUUGAGUGUGGGAGAGGGAUGCGGAAUUCCAGGUGUAGCGGUGAAAUGCGUAGAUAUCUGGAGGAACACCGGUGGCGAAGGCGGCAUCCUGGACCAUUACUGACACUGAAUAGCGAAAGCCAGGGGAGCAAACGGG
RNAcentral lists this ribosomal RNA (253 nucleotides) under uncultured bacterium. RNAcentral describes it as "partial 16S ribosomal RNA". It matches the Rfam family "Bacterial small subunit ribosomal RNA", at positions 524 to 776 of the family's 1533-position model. The record is from RNAcentral.